This is a long non-coding RNA of Tyto alba (common barn owl), 392 nucleotides long. RefSeq lists it as uncharacterized. The transcript has 2 exons. Lineage: Eukaryota; Metazoa; Chordata; Aves; Strigiformes; Tytonidae. The record is from RefSeq and is a predicted model, not a curated record.
GUUUGUAGAAGCAUGUGGAGUGGGUGUUGUGAACACCAUUUUGGACUUUCCAGACAUAACUACAACACAGUGGCAGCAGGAUGUAUGUCACAGCUGAAGGAAUAGCAGUGCCAGGUCAGCCCAAGGGCCUACCCGGGUCACCAUCCACCUCCAACGCGGCCGUGAGGAUGCACCCAGGAAGAACAAGACCGGGCCAGGCACGUGGUUAGUCCCUUGGCUUUCUUAGCCUCCAACUCUUGUCACUAAAAGUGACUUCCUGAACCAUACCUGGGUUUUAUGCCACCUCAUCUUCAAAAUGUAACCAGUCUGUUCCCUUGCAUGUUCUUUCUGACCUCUCUGCUCACACCCUCUUCAACAGCAGCAGGGAAAAUAAAAAACUCCUUUACCACUUU